Molecule: ribosomal RNA, 250 nt
Filed under: uncultured bacterium
Lineage: Bacteria
Description: partial 16S ribosomal RNA
Rfam family: Bacterial small subunit ribosomal RNA
Source: RNAcentral
UACAGAGGUCCCGAGCGUUGUUCGGAUUCACUGGGCGUAAAGGGUGCGCAGGUGGGUUGGCAAGUUUGAUGUGAAAGCCCCGGGCUUAACCCGGGAAUGGCAUUGGAUACUGCUGAUCUGGAGGAUCGGAGGGGGGACUGGAAUUCUUGGUGUAGCAGUGAAAUGCGUAGAUAUCAAGAGGAACACCAGUGGCGAAGGCGAGUCCCUGGACGAUACCUGACACUGAGGCACGAAAGCCAAGGGAGCAAAC